AUCGGGAGGGCCUGGAGAGGGUAGAGGAGGCGUGGGAGGAUGUUUUGUUUAAUGACAUUACAUCGCCCAGUCCAUGAAAAUGCCAGAAUGGUCCAACUCU
Nanorana parkeri is the source of this 100-nucleotide long non-coding RNA. RefSeq lists it as uncharacterized. The transcript is spliced from 3 exons. Lineage: Eukaryota; Metazoa; Chordata; Amphibia; Anura; Dicroglossidae. The record is from RefSeq and is a predicted model, not a curated record.